UAAACCACCAGGAGCUCCAGAGGCCAGGUUCUGCCCGGCAACCUCAACCCUGUGCUUGUUGCAAGUUGUUCGGAUUUGUGCAAGUAAUGAUUCGGGGCUAGAGAGAGCAUCGUGUGGCUGGUGCUCAUCUGACAGGUCCAUUCCAGGCAAGAUGAUUUUGCAUGAAUUCCUUGCAAACAUCUCUGCAACUGCUUCAUAGCCAUUUCUUGAGGCCGUGUUAUAGAAGCCGGCAGUCAGUUCAGAAGGGUGUGCCCGGGUUUUGUACCACGAGUGCAUCAAUGGGACUUUCCCAUAAACAUUGACUUCAGUAUCACCAAAAAUGGACGAGACAAGAGAGAGGAGACGAUUGCCGUGAGAUACAAGCUCGCUUGAGUACCAGGAAAGGAAGAAGUCACCAUAAGGACUUUCCCACGACCCACCGUGAUCCUUGAAGAAACUAUUUGAGUUCGGUGCCUGAUCAUAAGUAGGGGCAUCAUGUGGACCACCUAGACCCCAUAAUGGGUUUCCAUUUGCUUCAGCAUAUUGCUUAAGAAGGUUAAGCAUGUUUGUGUCAUAACAUUGGAACUCCCCGACUCCAGUAAUCGUGCCACUCUUGGCAGGCUUGUGGUGUGAGGGAUACCGGAGUUCACCAUCUGGUCCAAGACCCAUUGAGAUGCCCUGAAAAACCACAACACAGAAGCCAUUAACAUCAGCACACCAACAUAGGAUCUAUGGCUUAUUUAACCAAGUUGUUCAACUGACAACCCCUUACCGUGAUGGUAGAACCCAUGAAAGGUGAGAAUGUGGACUUAAAGCUCUCGCAAAAGCCCUGGUAGAC
RNAcentral lists this long non-coding RNA (817 nucleotides) under Gossypium barbadense (sea-island cotton). RNAcentral's name for it is "long non-coding RNA (GBAR_LNC020125)". The record is from RNAcentral. Lineage: Eukaryota; Viridiplantae; Streptophyta; Magnoliopsida; Malvales; Malvaceae.